CCUCACACCCAACAACAGGCUGGGAAUAUUUUUCCACAUCAGUCACCAAGUGGAUGACUGACCGCUAAUGGAUCAAGUCAGGAACUCCUCAGUGAGCUGACCUGGCAAUUUCCUCCUAAGUGCUCACUGGCCGCUUCUAAGCACGAGGGCAAGCCAUAAUGCCACCAUCUCCGAGUCAACCUCAACUCCCUCAAGAGAUGGGCAGGGUACCUCUGCCACUGCGCUGACAACUCACAAAGAUUCAUCUUCAUCCCAGGAGACAAAAUAAGAGCUUGCCUUUGUGGCAUACAUAUAUUUCUGCUCUCAACUGAACUUCACAAGUUCCAGACCAACUCAACCUUAAAGGUCCAUCCUCCCGAAUGUGACUACAGUUCUUCCCAUGUCCAGCCCAUGGCUUUAGACCCACGGUUGGCAUUUUCAUGUUCUGACCUGUGGGAGAAGCAAGCUUGCUCCCACGCUGAGAAACUUGCACGAAUUCUCAACUCUAAAAGGCUGUGAAGAGAGAGGCUUGGUAGCCCCAUUCAGUUAUUCUACUUUGUGGAUCCUCAAACUUACUCCUUUCUUCUCCUUCCUUCCCCCUUCUCUUUCUACUCCUCCCUCUUCCUCUUGCCUCUAUUUCUCUGUCUAGAAGGCUCUGGCAAACUCCCCCAAAUGUACCAGCAAACCUCCCUCUUUCUCCUUGUUGCUACAAUGGGUUUGACGGCCUGAGUUAUCCUUCUAUGCAGUCUGCUUUGAGACUCUCUGGGCAUGCCUUUGGAAGCCUGAUAAAGUAACAGUCAAGCCAGGAUGUCAAGGUGAAGGCCGUAAACGUGUGGAAGGAAGAAAACUCUUCACCAGAGAGUCCAUGGGCUGGAAAGAUGGCUCAGCAAGCAAAAGCACUACGUAGGCACGCCGAGAGCCAGAUGACUGAGCUCAACUUCCUGAACCCUUGUGAGAAUGCCUGGAUGUGGCAGCGUACAUGUGGAAUCUUAGCACUUCUACAGUGAGGUGGGAGGCGAAGACAGGAGACUCAUCUAGAAGCUUGAGUGCCAGCUAACCUGAAGUACACGGCACAGCUGCCGAAACGAGGCCGACUGCCAAGAUGGUGAGGAAAAGCACGAGUUGCUCUUCCAGAGGCCCAGGCUCAAUUUCCAGCAUCCCCAUGGUGGCUCACACCUAUCUGUAACUCUAGUUCCUGAUGUGAGAGUGAUUUCUUAUUAAUAAAGAAACUGCCUAGGCCCCUUGACAGACCAAUCCUUAGGUGGGUGGAGUAAACAGAACAGAAUGCUGGGAGGAAGAGGCUGAAUCAGAGAGUUGCCAUGAUUCUCUUACCGAACACAGAUGCAGGUUAAGAUCUUCCCUGGUAAGACACCUCGUGGUGUUACAGGGAUAUUAGAAAUGGGUUAGAUCAAUAUGUAAGAGCUAGCCAAUAAGAGGCUACAGAUAACGG
Alexandromys fortis (reed vole) is the source of this 1429-nucleotide long non-coding RNA. RefSeq lists it as uncharacterized. The transcript has 3 exons. The record is from RefSeq and is a predicted model, not a curated record. NCBI's taxonomy places the organism in Eukaryota, Metazoa, Chordata, Mammalia, Rodentia, Cricetidae.